RNAcentral lists this long non-coding RNA (266 nucleotides) under Elaeis guineensis (African oil palm). RNAcentral's name for it is "long non-coding RNA (EGUI_LNC055388)". Lineage: Eukaryota; Viridiplantae; Streptophyta; Magnoliopsida; Arecales; Arecaceae. The record is from RNAcentral.
GUCACCGUCGAGCCACCAUCGAAGAGUCCCUCGAUUCUGAAGAAGAGUCGGGGGACUAUCCCUUUAAUGACAGGGACCUGGUAAAGUGAUUAAUUGACGACUGCAUCCUGCCCGAAGUCGUCCGGAGGAUUGAUCACGUCGAUCCCGAACAGCGGGUCUGGGACUCCCUUGGGUCCUUUCUCGAGGUAAACAGAUUCAUCUUCCCCCUUCUCCCCGCUCCUUUGUUUUGUUAAUUCUCAACCUUCAUUUUGAUCUCCUAGCCGCCC